RNAcentral lists this ribosomal RNA (600 nucleotides) under uncultured bacterium. RNAcentral describes it as "bacterial SSU rRNA". It matches the Rfam family "Bacterial small subunit ribosomal RNA", at positions 734 to 1338 of the family's 1533-position model. The record is from RNAcentral.
CCUUUACUGACGCUAAAGCUCGAAGGUGCGGGUAUCGAACAGGAUUAGAUACCCUGGUAGUCCGCACGGUAAACGAUGGAUGCCCGCUGUUGGCGAUAUAGUGUCAGCGGCCAAGCGAAAGCGUUAAGCAUCCCACCUGGGGAGUACGCCGGCAACGGUGAAACUCAAAGGAAUUGACGGGGGCCCGCACAAGCGGAGGAACAUGUGGUUUAAUUCGAUGAUACGCGAGGAACCUUACCCGGGCUUGAACUGCAGGAGAAGGAAACAGAGAUGUUGACGCCCUUCGAGGCUCCUGUGGAGGUGCUGCAUGGUUGUCGUCAGCUCGUGCCGUGAGGUGUCGGCUUAAGUGCCAUAACGAGCGCAACCCUUUUCGUCAGUUGCCAUCAGGUGAUGCUGGGCACUCUGGCGAUACUGCCACCGUAAGGUGUGAGGAAGGUGGGGAUGACGUCAAAUCAGCACGGCCCUUACGUCCGGGGCUACACACGUGUUACAAUGGGGAGUACAGAGAGUUGGUUGUACGCAAGUACGGUCUAAUCAUGAAAGCUCUCCUCAGUUCGGAUUGGGGUCUGCAACCCGACCCCAUGAAGCUGGAUUCGCUAG